GAAGGAUUUGUUUCUGGAGAUCCUGUCUUGGUGGGAGCUUUUCCCUGCAGACCCAGAAUCUUCUGAGAUGGGUGAACUCUUGAAACUUGCUCCUGCCUAAAAUCUCCCUAGAGCAAAGACAAGCUGAAUUAUAUUGGAAUUAAAGGGAACAACCUGCUCUAAGCAGGAAAGAUUGUGCUGUAGGCUCUUACGGAGUCAUCAGGAGAAUCACAGAAUGACUGAGGCUUGAAGUGACUUCUGGGUCUGUCUGGUCCAACCCCAUUACUCAAGUAAGGACACUCAGAGCUGGUUGCUCAGGAUCGUGUCCAGACAGUGCUAGAAGAUCUCAAACAAGGGAGACUCCACAACCUCUCUGAAGAGAAGAUGCUCUGAAAACCCGGGCUGGUGAUCUAUGACUCACAUUGCUGAAAAAGGUGAAGACUUCCCAAGGUUUCUUCCAACACUGUACAAAGGAUGCUUUCCAAAUCUCACUGUUGGCUUUAGCAUAAGAGAAAGAACAUUCUCUAUCCUGCAGCGAUACAUUUGUGAUGCAGCAAAGAAGCAGAAAAAAUAACUGUGUAUCUCAAGUGAAGGAAGAACGUUCUGACUCCUACAAACAACUGAAGCACAGAAAUGCUGCUUUUCAGUAGAGCCAGAAUAUCAAUAGAAAGGCACAAAUAUUAUUUGGAUAUCAGUGGUAAACAAGUAAUUUUGCACUCCUCAGGACACAGCAGUAAAAUAGAUAAGUGACAAAAGACACACAUUUCCAGGAAUGACCACUGUCUUCCAGCCUUCUCUCUGUCCCUAUCCACCCAGAAGCAUAUAUCUUCACCAAAAACCUUCUUGUAUAACCCUUUUGGAAAGAUUUAUAGUUGAUACUGGAUUGGGCUUUUCCUAGCCAAACCAUGACUUAAGUGAGACCUCUCAAUUAGCAGUGUGGCUACCUUUACUCAGCAGUGCUUCAUGAUUUCAGCCAUGGGCUCUACGUAUGAUUGGUGAGGAGGAUAAGCACUUCAGAGCAUGGCUCAGCCUACUUCAAGUAGGAUGGAAGUACCUCUAUGUCCCCGCUGACAUGGAGCUGAAGAAAACUGCUUCCUUCUGAAGUUUCUCAUUUCAGUGUCUACAGUGGGAUAAGACAAAGACUGGUAAAGGUGUGACCUUCUCUGGCAAUAUGAUCCAAUGUCUCAUCACUGUCCGUGCUGGGAAGUGGUGUCCGAUUGCAAGAAAUCUCACCUGCUUCUGCUGAUGUGUUCCAGCAAAGCUGCCAGCAAAUGCCUAUCCACAGCUAAAUGGAAAGAGUGUACAUUGUGAAGAAACAUCUACAAUGAAGCGAGUGGGAAACGUCAGCCCCAUUCACUUAAGUGGGGAUGUUCCAGCUGUUCUCCACAGUGGAUGGGCUCAAUACCUGGCUCCUAAGCUCUAUUUUUGAUUGCACAUUGCCAGGUGAAGGGCCAGGAUGUACACUGACCAGCCUUAGAAGCAAUACCACAGCUGUGUUCCUAAGCACUCAAUCUUGUGAGUUAAAAAAUCCUUUUGAAAGGGGGGAAAAAAAUGGCAAAUUAAAGGUUUAAAGAUUUAAAAAUACAUAUUCUGAUCUAUUACAGUUCUGGUCUGUUACUAGUUGCUGCAAGCAAUAAAUUCUUUCACUGGAACUCUGCUCUGCCUGUAGAGGUUAAAUCAGAUC
Numida meleagris (helmeted guineafowl) is the source of this 1663-nucleotide long non-coding RNA. RefSeq lists it as uncharacterized. Lineage: Eukaryota; Metazoa; Chordata; Aves; Galliformes; Numididae. The record is from RefSeq and is a predicted model, not a curated record. The transcript has 3 exons.